Molecule: ribosomal RNA, 525 nt
Filed under: Balistes punctatus (bluespotted triggerfish)
Lineage: Eukaryota; Metazoa; Chordata; Actinopteri; Tetraodontiformes; Balistidae
Description: partial 16S ribosomal RNA
Rfam family: Bacterial large subunit ribosomal RNA
Source: RNAcentral
UAAGAGGUCCCGCCUGCCCUGUGACUUUACGUUUAACGGCCGCGGUAUUUUGACCGUGCGAAGGUAGCGCAAUCACUUGUCUCUUAAAUGGGGACCUGUAUGAAUGGCAUAACGAGGGUUUAACUGUCUCCUUUCCCAAGUUAAUGAAAUUGAUCUUCCCGUGCAGAAGCGGGAAUAAGAACAUAAGACGAGAAGACCCUAUGGAGCUUUAGGCAAUAGACAGAUCAUACUAAAAUAAUCCUGACAAAGAGACAAACAUAAUGAAUCCUGUCCUUAUGCCUUUGGUUGGGGCGACCGCGGGGAAACAAAAAACCCCCAUGUGGAAUAGGACCACCCGUCCUUCAAAAAAGAGCCUCCGCUCUAAAAAACAGAAUAUCUGACCUUUAAGAUCCGGCAAAGCCGAUCAACGAACCGAGUUACCCUAGGGAUAACAGCGCAAUCCCCUUAUAGAGCCCAUAUCGACAAGGGGGUUUACGACCUCGAUGUUGGAUCAGGAUAUCCUAAUGGUGCAGCCGCUAUUAAGGG